AUUGAACGCUGGCGGCAGGCCUAACACAUGCAGGUCGAGCGGAUGAAGGGAGCUUGCUCCUGGAUUCAGCGGCGGACGGGUGAGUAAUGCCUAGGAAUCUGCCUGGUAGUGGGGGAUAACGUCCGGAAACGGGCGCUAAUACCGCAUACGUCCUGAGGGAGAAAGUGGGGGAUCUUCGGACCUCACGCUAUCAGAUGAGCCUAGGUCGGAUUAGCUAGUUGGUGGGGUAAAGGCCUACCAAGGCGACGAUCCGUAACUGGUCUGAGAGGAUGAUCAGUCACACUGGAACUGAGACACGGUCCAGACUCCUACGGGAGGCAGCAGUGGGGAAUAUUGGACAAUGGGCGAAAGCCUGAUCCAGCCAUGCCGCGUGUGUGAAGAAGGUCUUCGGAUUGUAAAGCACUUUAAGUUGGGAGGAAGGGCAGUAAGUUAAUACCUUGCUGUUUUGACGUUACCAGCAGAAUAAGCACCGGCUAACUUCGUG
RNAcentral lists this ribosomal RNA (484 nucleotides) under uncultured bacterium. RNAcentral's name for it is "partial 16S ribosomal RNA". It matches the Rfam family "Bacterial small subunit ribosomal RNA", at positions 30 to 507 of the family's 1533-position model. The record is from RNAcentral.